RNAcentral lists this ribosomal RNA (321 nucleotides) under uncultured eukaryote. RNAcentral's name for it is "partial 18S ribosomal RNA". It matches the Rfam family "Eukaryotic small subunit ribosomal RNA", at positions 1470 to 1796 of the family's 1831-position model. The record is from RNAcentral.
CCCUUAGACGUUCUGGGCCGCACGCGCGCUACACUGACCAGUGCAACAAGCAUCCGUCCUUGGCCGAUAGGUCUGGGUAAUCUUUGAACGCUGUUCGUGAUUGGGAUAGACCUUUGCAAUUAUGGGUCUUCAACGAGGAAUUCCUAGUAAACGCAAGUCAUCAGCUUGCAUUGAUUACGUCCCUGCCCUUUGUACACACCGCCCGUCGCACCUACCGAUUGAAUGGUCCGGUGAAAUCUCGGGACGGCGGCUCGGUCGCUUGCGUCCGACUGCUGAAACUUGAUUAAACCAUAUCAUUUAGAGGAAGGUGAAGUCGUAACA